RNAcentral lists this ribosomal RNA (398 nucleotides) under Rickettsia endosymbiont of Amblyomma dissimile. RNAcentral describes it as "bacterial SSU rRNA". It matches the Rfam family "Bacterial small subunit ribosomal RNA", at positions 840 to 1233 of the family's 1533-position model. The record is from RNAcentral. Lineage: Bacteria; Pseudomonadati; Pseudomonadota; Alphaproteobacteria; Rickettsiales; Rickettsiaceae.
UCGGUUUCGCAGCUAACGCAUUAAGCACUCCGCCUGGGGAGUACGGUCGCAAGAUUAAAACUCAAAGGAAUUGACGGGGGCUCGCACAAGCGGUGGAGCAUGCGGUUUAAUUCGAUGUUACGCGAAAAACCUUACCAACCCUUGACAUGGUGGUCGCAGAUCGCAGAGAUGCUUUCCUUCAGUUCGGCUGGACCACACACAGGUGUUGCAUGGCUGUCGUCAGCUCGUGUCGUGAGAUGUUGGGUUAAGUCCCGCAACGAGCGCAACCCUCAUUCUUAUUUGCCAGCGGGUAAUGCCGGGAACUAUAAGAAAACUGCCGGUGAUAAGCCGGAGGAAGGUGGGGACGACGUCAAGUCAUCAUGGCCCUUACGGGUUGGGCUACACGCGUGCUACAAUGG